CGUCGCCACCCAAGCCGAUCGCCGCCACCCGGGAGCCUUACGUCGUCGCCGCCGUUCCCGAUUAAGGGCCGCCGCUUUCCGUUCUAGCCGCGAUAGUCUAGAACGCGGAGCCCCCGCCUGAGCCAUGAUCAUAUUGAGGCUGACUCGGAGCCGUCGGGUGAACAGACAGCUGAGGAGGAUUCAUGUGGUGAUGCCGAAGACAGUGAGUCAGAGUGGACGCCUCCGAGAAGGCGUAGGGACUAGUUCUGGGAGCGAGGCAAUAAAUUGAGAGGGCCCAAUUUUUGGAUAAUGCUGAUCUAGGAUGCUGAUCCUUUUUGUAUUUUGGAAGUUAAUAAUUACUGGUUCGGUGUGCUUGUAAUAAUAAUGGAUAUUGUAAAUAUUAUGGUGUAAGUUUGGCAAUGAGAACGAAUAUGUUCAUUCU
This is a long non-coding RNA of Syzygium oleosum, 421 nucleotides long. RefSeq lists it as uncharacterized. The record is from RefSeq and is a predicted model, not a curated record. NCBI's taxonomy places the organism in Eukaryota, Viridiplantae, Streptophyta, Magnoliopsida, Myrtales, Myrtaceae. The transcript is spliced from 2 exons.